GACGAACGCUGGCGGCGUGCCUAACACAUGCAAGUCGAACGGGGGUAGCAAUACCUCAGUGGCGAACGGGUGCGUAACACGUGAAGAAUUUGUCUAACGGCGGGGGAUAGCCGGCCCAACGGCCGGGUAAUACCGCGUACGACCUCUGGAGGGCAUCCUCUGGUGGUGAAAGCCGCAAGGCGCCGAUAGAGAACUUCGCGGCCUAUCAGCUAGUUGGCGGGGUAAUGGCCCACCAAGGCGACGACGGGAGCUGGUCCGAGAGGAUGACCAGCCACAUUGGGACUGAGACACGGCCCAGACUCCUACGGGAGGCAGCAGUGGGGAAUAUUGCGCAAUGGGCGAAAGCCUGACGCAGCGACGCCGCGUGUGGGAUGACGGCCU
This 381-nucleotide ribosomal RNA is filed under the name uncultured bacterium. RNAcentral's name for it is "bacterial SSU rRNA". It matches the Rfam family "Bacterial small subunit ribosomal RNA", at positions 28 to 417 of the family's 1533-position model. The record is from RNAcentral.